Molecule: ribosomal RNA, 954 nt
Filed under: uncultured Lachnospiraceae bacterium
Lineage: Bacteria; Bacillati; Bacillota; Clostridia; Lachnospirales; Lachnospiraceae
Description: bacterial SSU rRNA
Rfam family: Bacterial small subunit ribosomal RNA
Source: RNAcentral
AGAGUUUGAUCCUGGCUCAGGAUAAACGCUGGCGGCGUGCCUAAUACAUGCAAGUCGAUCGGAGAGUUUCAAGCUUGCUUGAGACUUUCAGAGGCGAACGGGUGAGUAAUACAUAAGCAACCUGCCCACGAAGACCGGGAUAACAUCUGGAAACGGGUACUAAAACCGGAUAGGUAAUAGAACCGCAUGGUUCGAUUAUUAAAGGAGAGAAACACUGGUGGAUGGGCUUAUGGCGCAUUAGUUAGUUGGUGAGGUAACGGCCCACCAAGACGAUGAUGCGUAGCCGGACUGAGAGGUUGAACGGCCACAUUGGGACUGAGAGACGGCCCAGACUCCUACGGGAGGCAGCAGUAGGGAAUUUUCGGCAAUGGGCGGAAGCCUGACCGAGCAACGCCGCGUGAGUGAUGAAGUUUUUCGGAAUGUAAAGCUCUGUUGCGCGGGACGAAUGGAGAGGGAGGACCCUCUUGUGACGGUACCGCGCGAGGAAGCCACGGCUAACUACGUGCCAGCAGCCGCGGUAAUACGUAGGUGGCGAGCGUUAUCCGGAAUUAUUGGGCGUAAAGGGUGCGCAGGCGGCCUUUUAAGUUCAAGGUGAAAGCGUGGGGCUCAACCCCAUAAAGCCUUGGAUACUGGGAGGCUGGAGUACUGGAGAGGACAGCGGAAUUCCAUGUGUAGCGGUAAAAUGCGUAGAUAUAUGGAGGAACACCGGAGGCGAAGGCGGCUGUCUGGACAGUAACUGACGCUGAGGCACGAAAGCGUGGGGAGCAAAUAGGAUUAGAUACCCUAGUAGUCCACGCUGUAAACGAUGAAUACUAAGUGUUGGGGAGACCCAGUGCUGCAACAAACGCAAUAAGUAUUCCGCCUGUGGAGUAUGCACGCAAGUGUGAAACAUAAAGGAAUUGACGGGGGCCCGCACAAGCGGUGGAGUAUGUGGUUUAAUUCGACGCAACGCGA